RNAcentral lists this transfer RNA (77 nucleotides) under Clostridia bacterium. Its description in RNAcentral is "tRNA-Arg". It matches the Rfam family "tRNA". Rfam says of the family: Transfer RNA (tRNA) molecules are approximately 80 nucleotides in length. Lineage: Bacteria; Bacillati; Bacillota; Clostridia. RNAcentral also lists the same sequence under 2 other names. The record is from RNAcentral.
GCGUUCAUAGCUCAGCUGGAUAGAGCGUUGGUCUACGGAACCAAAGGUCGGGGGUUCGAAUCCCUCUGGACGCACCA